Molecule: ribosomal RNA, 253 nt
Filed under: uncultured bacterium
Lineage: Bacteria
Description: partial 16S ribosomal RNA
Rfam family: Bacterial small subunit ribosomal RNA
Source: RNAcentral
UACGUAGGGCGCAAGCGUUGUCCGGAAUCAUUGGGCGUAAAGAGCUCGUAGGCGGCCUGUUGCGUCCGCUGUGAAAUCCCGGGGCUUAACCCCGGGCGUGCAGUGGAUACGGGCUGGCUGGAGGCAGGCAGGGGAGAACGGAAUUCCCGGUGUAGCGGUGAAAUGCGCAGAUAUCGGGAGGAACACCAGUGGCGAAGGCGGUUGCCUGGGGCUUUGCUGACGCUGAUGCGCGAAAGCGUGGGGAGCGAUCCGG